This 510-nucleotide ribosomal RNA is filed under the name Clostridium sp. L2-50. RNAcentral's name for it is "SSU rRNA". It matches the Rfam family "Bacterial small subunit ribosomal RNA", at positions 26 to 547 of the family's 1533-position model. Lineage: Bacteria; Bacillati; Bacillota; Clostridia; Eubacteriales; Clostridiaceae. The record is from RNAcentral.
AGGAUGAACGCUGGCGGCGUGCUUAACACAUGCAAGUCGAACGAGAGAGGAUCGGUGCUUGCACUGAUCCAAUCGAGUGGCGGACGGGUGAGUAACGCGUGGGUAACCUGCCUCAUACAGGGGAAUAACAGUUGGAAACGGCUGCUAAAACCGCAUAAGCGCACAGUAUCGCAUGAUACAGUGUGAAAAACUCCGGUGGUAUGAGAUGGACCCGCGUCUGAUUAGCUAGUUGGUGAGGUAACGGCCCACCAAGGCAACGAUCAGUAGCCGGCCUGAGAGGGUGAACGGCCACAUUGGGACUGAGACACGGCCCAAACUCCUACGGGAGGCAGCAGUGGGGAAUAUUGCACAAUGGGGGAAACCCUGAUGCAGCGACGCCGCGUGAGUGAUGAAGUAUUUCGGUAUGUAAAGCUCUAUCAGCAGGGAAGAUAAUGACGGUACCUGACUAAGAAGCACCGGCUAAAUACGUGCCAGCAGCCGCGGUAAUACGUAUGGUGCAAGCGUUAUCCG